UGGGGAAUAUUGCACAAUGGGGGAAACCCUGAUGCAGCGACGCCGCGUGAACGAAGAAGGUAUUCGUAUCGUAAAGUUCUGUCCUAUGGGAAGAUAAUGACAGUACCAUAGAAGAAAGCUCCGGCUAAAUACGUGCCAGCAGCCGCGGUAAUACGUAUGGAGCGAGCGUUGUCCGGAAUUAUUGGGCGUAAAGGGUACGCAGGCGGUUUAAUAAGUCGAAUGUUAAAGAUCGGGGCUCAACCCCGCAAAGCAUUGGAAACUGAUAAACUUGAGUAGUGGAGAGGAAAGUGGAAUUCCUAGUGUAGUGGUGAAAUACGUAGAUAUUAGGAGGAAUACCAGUAGCGAAGGCGACUUUCUGGACACUAACUGACGCUGAGGUACGAAAGCGUGGGGAGCAAACAGG
RNAcentral lists this ribosomal RNA (403 nucleotides) under bacterium. Its description in RNAcentral is "partial 16S ribosomal RNA". It matches the Rfam family "Bacterial small subunit ribosomal RNA", at positions 355 to 776 of the family's 1533-position model. The record is from RNAcentral.